AACGAACGCUGGCGGCAUGCCUAACACAUGCAAGUCGAACGGAACCUUCGGGCCUAGUGGCGCACUGGGGGGUGACGCGUGGGAACCUGCCUUUAAGUUCGGAAUAACUCAGAGAAAUUUGACCUAAUACCGGAUGAUGUCUUCCGACCAAAGAUUUAUCGCCUUUAGAUGGGCCUGGGAUGGAUUAGCUGGUUGGUGGGGUAAAGGCCUACCAAGGCGUCGUUACAUAGCUGGUCUGAGAGGAUGAUCAGCCACACUGGGACUGAGACACGGCCCAGAAUCCUAGGGGAGGGAGCAGUGGGGAAUACUGGACAAUGGGCGAUAGCAUGAUCCAGCAAUGCCGGGUGAGUGAUGAAGGCCUUAGGGUUGUAAAGCUCUUUUACACGAGAUGAUAAUGACGGUAUCGGGAGAAUAAGCUCCGGCUAACUACGUG
RNAcentral lists this ribosomal RNA (433 nucleotides) under uncultured bacterium. RNAcentral describes it as "partial 16S ribosomal RNA". It matches the Rfam family "Bacterial small subunit ribosomal RNA", at positions 29 to 507 of the family's 1533-position model. The record is from RNAcentral.